RNAcentral lists this ribosomal RNA (408 nucleotides) under uncultured bacterium. Its description in RNAcentral is "partial 16S ribosomal RNA". It matches the Rfam family "Bacterial small subunit ribosomal RNA", at positions 28 to 526 of the family's 1533-position model. The record is from RNAcentral.
GACGAACGCUGGCGGCGUGCUUAACACAUGCAAGUCGAACGAAGUGGCGAACGGGUGAGUAACGCGUAAUCAACCUGCCCUUUAGCGGGGGCCAACAGUUGGAAACGACUGCUAAUACCGCAUACUGAAGGAGGGGCUUGCGUUUGAUUUGCUAGUUGGAGGGGUAACGGCCCACCAAGGCGAUGAUCAGUAGCCAGUAUGAGAGGAUGAGCGGCGAGAUUGGGACGGAGACACGGCCCAGACUCCUACGGGAGGCAGCCGUGGGGAAUCUUCCGCAAUGGACGAAAGUCUGACUGAGCAACGCGGCGUGAGUGAGGACGGCCUUCGGGUUGUAAAGCUCUGUUAAUCGGGACGCGGUACCGGAAUAGAAAGCCACGGCUAACUACGUGCCAGCAGCCGCGGUAAUAC